GUCUCCGGCCAUACUACCCUGAAGGAGCCCGAUCCCGUCUGCUCUUGGAAGCUAAGCAGGGUCAGGCCUGGUUAGUACUUGGAUGGGAGACCACUUAGGAACACGAGGUGCUGUAGGCG
Ribosomal RNA from Pteropus vampyrus (large flying fox), 119 nucleotides. The record is from Ensembl. Lineage: Eukaryota; Metazoa; Chordata; Mammalia; Chiroptera; Pteropodidae.